AGCCAGUGCCCACCCCACUUGGAAAUACUCGACUUUCACUGUCAGUGUUAGGGAACCCAGUGGAAAUCUUUUUUCUUGGAAAUUGGAAAUUCUCUAACAAUAACCUGGAAUCAGGAACUCAUUUGUUAUACAUGGACUUUCUUUCAUCUUUGUAAAUUCAGGGCUUGAAACAACAGCUGAUGUAUGAUAACAGGCUCCCGGUCUUUACUGAAUGAGUGAAUGAAUGAAUGGAAAAGUGACUUACACACUCUCUCAAAGUUUGUUGACUUUUGGUUAGUUUUGAAUAAACAAAUAAUGCUCUCACCUUCAGCACAGAUGAUCUGGGCAAAGCCUGGGUAAGUUUGAAAGAUUGGCCUCUUACCACCCUGUGUUCUCACUUGUGCUGGAUUGAGUCAAGAGAGGAGAGGACAGAGAAAAGUGUGAAAAGUUGCAAAGGUGAGGCAUUUGCCUGGCUCAGGAAGCAAUUGGGUGGUAGUAGCAAAUAAGCUGAUCUAAUCAGAAAAAAUACUGUGACUACUAGGGGGGAAGCCUAAGGGGACACCCAGACCUUAGUCACUCGGCCUCUGGUUCCUAGAGACUCAAUAGCCUUAUCUUUUCUAGCACUUGUCCACCAAGUCGACUUCUUUUCCAACCAAGCUGGGCCCUUGGGUACUGGAUCCUUCUUCUCACACCCAGGAAGUUUACUGGUUUAUUUAUUAUAAGCCAAGAAGAGACUAGGGAAGUAUGCAGGCUACACAUCUUUGCUAAGCCCCAAGCCAGUAUGGUCCAUGUUUCAAAACCAAAACAGCUGCUUUAUUCCCCUCCCCCAGUCCUUUACUAGCUAGUUGUCGGCUUGCUGCCAUUAACAUGCUUGUUAUAACUGGUAGCCACUGGAUUCUUCCAUACUUAAGUGUGGGCAGCUGUUAACAAGAGAACACUUGCCUGGAGAAGCCAGAGAGCAUGGGAGGGAAUGAGUGUUUUAUAUAGUCAAAAACAGAUGACUAAGAACUACAUCAAGAAAUCCAUAAUACUCCCAGCUGCUUACCACAUGAAUUUGUAAUAUCUUCCCAGGAGAAGUUCUAACAGUACAGAAGGUGAGUGACCAUCCCAAGGUCACGAAGAGACCAAAUUACUUGUAAAGAGCGGAUCUCGACUCUGGAGUUCUAGCAGGAGAAAGGUCCACACCCAAUCUUUUCAUACAGGGAGGGAAAAGCCUUAAAUGCCAGAGGGGCCAACACAAGGCAUCAGGCUACUGCUUCAAGCCUGAGUUCUGAAAGGUUUGCCAAACAUUCACCCAUCCUCAUCUUAAAUUCAAAGACAGUCCUGUUUAAAUCCCUGGUUUAAAAGGUGAACUUUCAGGGGAACCUGGGUGGCACAGUUGGUUGGGUGUCCAACUCCUGGUUUUGGCUUGGUCCUGAUCUUGGGGUUGAGGGAUCUAGCCCCGAGUUGGGAUCCCUGCUCAGUGUGGAGUCUGCUUGAGAUUCUCUCUCUUCCUCUCUGUCUGCCCCCUUCACUUUGCACCCACGUGCGUGUGUGCUCUCUCUCUCUCCUUCAAAUAAAUAAAUCUUUAAAAAUAAAAGGUGAACUGAAUCCAGGCAUAUUCAGUCAGAAGCCCAUUUAAAAAGGCCUGCAGGAGUGGGGGCAGCUGGGGGGUUCAGGUCAUGAUCUUGGCCGCUGGGAUUAAGCCUUGCAUUGCACUCCCUGCUCAACAGGGGAGUCUGCUUUCUCUCUCUUUCUCCUGCCCAUCCCCCAGUUCAUGCUCUCUCCCACUCACUCUCUCUCAAAUAAAAAUAAAUAAAAUCUUAAAUAAAUAAAUAAAAAGGCCUCCUGGAUCAGACACAGAUCCUGUUUUCCUCCUACCCUCUGCACCCAUCUGUGUAUUACUAGGCUGAAGGAGAAACCCUUUCAGCCAGUUGAAUUAGUAACUAGUUUGUAACUUGAAUUAGUGACAGUCGAGUUGGUCGAGAUACUUUUUCACAAACCCGGAGCAAGUCUCCUAAGCUAACCAGGGGCACUGGCUCCAAAAGCUUGUGCUGAUGAGUGUAGGGAAUGUGCUUAACAAAAUUUGAGGACUACUGUGGCCAGAGCAUGAAGCACAGGAAGGGAGACAUAAUUUGUUUCCCAAAUAAUUAAACUUUAAACAAUAAUAAAAAAGUAAGAAAUAUAGCACCAACUACCAGGCACUAUUUUAAGUACUUAGUCCUAUUUUACAAACCAACACUCAGAAACAGAGAGCCUGAGCAAGGGGCUGAGAAAGGAUUUAAACGUAAGUUUAAAAGUUGUGAAAAUUAAAAAAAGAAAAACUCAUUUAGAAUGAAGUCGGGAGGCCAGGAUGGGCAGUUCUCAUGCCCUACUAUUCCCGGUGAUUGCAGACCCAACAGGGAGAGGGGCUGCUUGCAAGUCAAUAGCACUUUACUCUCCUUCGCUACAUUUAAGAAAAGGUUUUCUCCUCCACCUUGGCAACAGCCCAGCCAAUGAGAGACCGUCACAAUCAGCCAAUCAGAAGCCAGUAUACUGUGACCUCUCCGUUUAAUCCAACGGACUUUCCGUUUGUAACAGCCCUUCCCAACUGUCCCCUUUCCUCUAUAAAAGAGCUUUCCUCUCCUUUACUGUGUGCACUUUGCUAUGGUUUUGCCAGUACAUGUUCGUUCUGGGUGUGUAGUUAGGAUGGUUGCACAGGAUAGAAGAGUACAGGAAGUUAAACAGUGUUGUUAAACGGGGGAAGGCGCUGCUUGUAAAGACAUGUACACUAAUAUCAAAUCGGAAUGCUGGAAUUCAUGGGAUCGGAGGUCUGGAGUGAAGACCGUUGUUUGCAGCGUGGGCUCUGGUAAAGAGACAGAGAGGGCCCUGGGCUGUUAGAGCGUCUUGCCGGCUUCAGUUCCACCUUCGAGCAGGGCAGCCUCCACCCUGCCUCUUUGUCUCGCACGUUUCAGAAGAGUCUAUGAAGGUGAAGGUGGUUAGCGCUACAUUGGAAUGUUGAAUUCUGAGGAAAACUCCUAAGGAACUAGGACCAAGCUAAUAUGGCCAGAGGACAAGUGCAUGUGCCUUGGAGGCUAGGAUGUUCUAGUCUGUGCAGACUGUGAGGAGAGACCCAAAGCCACCAGAGUGCAGGUUUCUGCCCUCGAGGGGCUGACAGUCACAGCUAAGAAAAAAUACGCACUUGGAAGACUUGAGGUUUAGCAUCACAAAGAAGCAGGAACAUUCAAGUGUAAACUCAACACUCAACAAAGAAGCAGAGACUAGCACUGGGCUGGCCUCUGAACAGCGGCACACAGCAAAACUAAGAAUCUCCUCUAAGGAGAAGUCCUACUCUGCACGUAUGACAGACAAGUGACACAGCAGGACGAAUGCACAAUGCACAGAGUGACGAUAUUCCACAGAACAGGAAAACUCUCAUGAUCCAGGUCGAAGCCUAAGAAACCAACUCUAGGUACACUGUGAUCACCUACAGUGUGCUUUACUUUAGAAGGCUGUUGUGAAGAUCAAAUGAGAGGAUAUGUAUGUAAUGAUUUUGAAACUGCCCAACAUUCAAGAAGCUACUCAAAAUCUUUUACACAGGGAUGCCCAGCCAGCUUGACUCCCCACGCAUGAGGACACAGCCUUGGAGAAUGGAGUACGGACUUCAGCCUCUUCAAACCACACCCACAUAUAUCAUUGGAGAAAUGCCCUUAUGUUGGGAUAAGAUUGCAGAUAAUUUAUGACAUUUUGCACUGGUUUACUACUAUUCCAAUAAACUCAGAAAUGUACUA
This is a long non-coding RNA of Mustela lutreola (European mink), 3728 nucleotides long. RefSeq lists it as uncharacterized. The transcript is spliced from 4 exons. The record is from RefSeq and is a predicted model, not a curated record. Lineage: Eukaryota; Metazoa; Chordata; Mammalia; Carnivora; Mustelidae.